Molecule: transfer-messenger RNA, 188 nt
Filed under: Shigella flexneri
Lineage: Bacteria; Pseudomonadati; Pseudomonadota; Gammaproteobacteria; Enterobacterales; Enterobacteriaceae
Description: partial transfer-messenger RNA
Rfam family: transfer-messenger RNA
About the family: Bacterial tmRNA, also known as 10Sa RNA or SsrA, is named for its dual tRNA and mRNA-like properties. Its role is to liberate the mRNA from a stalled ribosome.
Source: RNAcentral
GGGGCUGAUUCUGGAUUCGACGGGAUUUGCGAAACCCAAGGUGCAUGCCGAGGGGCGGUUGGCCUCGUAAAAAGCCGCAAAAAAUAGUCGCAAACGACGAAAACUACGCUUUAGCAGCUUAAUAACCUGCUUAGAGCCCUCUCUCCCUAGCCUCCGCUCUUAGGACGGGGAUCAAGAGAGGUCAAACC